AACGUACAUUCUGAAUAAUUUUAGAAGAAAACAUGCAACUACAUCGUAGAUUAAGUUAUCUACUGCGUUCUUGAGGAGUAAAACUCAAUAGAGUGAAUAUUUGAUUAACUCCUAUGUAGUUAAAAAUAUAUAUUGUGCUAGCUCAAUACAUGUAAAUAUGUAACGAGUAUGGUUGGCAUCCGUGACGCUGUAAAACAGCAACAAUACUUCAAAAUGCUGGCAUAAAUAUCAUGUAACUACGCUGUUGUAUAUGAAAAACAGGAGCUACUUGACACCAGAGAUGAUUAAUGUCUGCAAUGUACCCUAAAAUAACUACAACUCCACCUCAACGUUGCUAAUGACUUCUACACCUUAAAAUGGCUCUAUUUAUUACCCCUCCCCUCCGUACGAUAGUUUUAACUCAACUAUUACAAGUUUACAACAUGUUGUGAUCUUUCCGAUCACAAAAAAUGAAUUUCCACAGCCUUUAUUUAGCUGAUUAUUGAAUCCAUGACGUUAACGCUUAAGCAGAUUUAGUAACCUCAUGAAUAGCGUUUGCCAAGUAACCAACAUUUCCAGUAGUAACUCCUGCCAUACUGAUACGACCAUUACGAGUCAUGUAGAUGUGAUACUCUUUUGUCAAUCGGUCUACUUGUUCCGGUGUCAUCCCACUGUAGCAGAACAUGCCAAUCUGGUUGGUUAUGUGUUCCCAAGAUAGAGGUGAGCCCAACUUCUCAAGAUUUCCCCUUAAAGCAGUUCUCAUCCCGAUGAUACGAUCAGCCAUGCCCUUCACUUCCCCGAGCCAUAGAGUUUUCAAGUUUGGAUCUCCAAGGAUUGUAGAAACAACAAGAGCACCAUGAAGAGGUGGAUUACUGUACAUGGGCCUGGCAAGUUGCUGCAACUGACUUUUCACUGCCACUGCUUGUUUUUCAUCCUCACAGACAACACUUAGGCAACCAACUCUCUGACCAUAUAGCCCCAUAUUUUUUUGCAUAUGAUUGGGCACAU
RNAcentral lists this unclassified non-coding RNA (987 nucleotides) under Hevea brasiliensis (rubber tree). Lineage: Eukaryota; Viridiplantae; Streptophyta; Magnoliopsida; Malpighiales; Euphorbiaceae. The record is from RNAcentral.